GAUGAACGCUGGCGGCGUGCUUAACACAUGCAAGUCGAACGGUGAAAGUGGGAGCUUGCUCCUGCUGGAUCAGUGGCGAACGGGUGAGUAACACGUGAGCAAUCUGCCCCGAACUCUGGGAUAAGCGUUGGAAACGACGUCUAAUACCGGAUACGAGACGCGAAGGCAUCUUCAGCGUCUGGAAAGAACUUCGGUUCGGGAUGAGCUCGCGGCCUAUCAGCUAGUUGGUGAGGUAAUGGCUCACCAAGGCGACGACGGGUAGCCGGCCUGAGAGGGUGACCGGCCACACUGGGACUGAGACACGGCCCAGACUCCUACGGGAGGCAGCAGUGGGGAAUAUUGCACAAUGGGCGCAAGCCUGAUGCAGCAACGCCGCGUGAGGGACGACGGCCUUCGGGUUGUAAACCUCUUUUAGUAGGGAAGAAGCGAAAGUGACGGUACCUGCAGAAAAAGCACCGGCUAACUACGUGCCAGCCGCCGCAGUAACAC
RNAcentral lists this ribosomal RNA (489 nucleotides) under uncultured bacterium. Its description in RNAcentral is "bacterial SSU rRNA". It matches the Rfam family "Bacterial small subunit ribosomal RNA", at positions 28 to 526 of the family's 1533-position model. The record is from RNAcentral.